This 253-nucleotide ribosomal RNA is filed under the name uncultured bacterium. RNAcentral's name for it is "partial 16S ribosomal RNA". It matches the Rfam family "Bacterial small subunit ribosomal RNA", at positions 524 to 776 of the family's 1533-position model. The record is from RNAcentral.
UACGUAGGGUGCAAGCGUUGUCCGGAAUUAUUGGGCGUAAAGAGCUCGUAGGCGGUCUGUCGCGUCGGCUGUGAAAACUCGGGGCUCAACUCCGAGCUUGCAGUCGAUACGGGCAGGCUAGAGUUCGGCAGGGGAGACUGGAAUUCCUGGUGUAGCGGUGAAAUGCGCAGAUAUCAGGAGGAACACCGGUGGCGAAGGCGGCUUCCUGGACCAGAACUGACGAUCAGGCACGAAAGCGUGGGGAGCAAACAGG